This 341-nucleotide unclassified non-coding RNA is filed under the name soil metagenome. RNAcentral's name for it is "partial contains 5.8S ribosomal RNA, internal transcribed spacer 2, and large subunit ribosomal RNA". The stretch from base 5 to 119 matches the Rfam family "5.8S ribosomal RNA", at positions 40 to 154 of the family's 154-position model. The record is from RNAcentral.
GAUGAGAACGUAGCGAAAUGCGAUAAGUAAUGUGAAUUGCAGAAUUCAGUGAAUCAUCGAAUCUUUGAACGCACAUUGCGCCCGGGAGCAUUCUCCCGGGCAUGCCUGUUCGAGCGUCAUUUCAACCCUCGAUUUCCCUUUGGGGAAGUCGGCCGUUGGAGAUCGGCAGCACUGCCGGCUCCCAAAUACAGUGGCGACCCGCCGCGGGGACCCCUGCGUAGUAACUUACACUCGCACCGGAAACCAGACGUGUCACGCCGUAAAACCCCCAACUUUCUGAACGUUGACCUCGGAUCAGGUAGGAAUACCCGCUGAACUUAAGCAUAUCAAUAAGCGGAGGA